Dreissena polymorpha is the source of this 3158-nucleotide long non-coding RNA. RefSeq lists it as uncharacterized. The transcript has 3 exons. The record is from RefSeq and is a predicted model, not a curated record. NCBI's taxonomy places the organism in Eukaryota, Metazoa, Mollusca, Bivalvia, Myida, Dreissenidae.
UUCUAGAAGCCCAAAUAACAUCUUACCAGACCCGGGAUGUCUGGCUUAUAAUUUAAGACUGAAUAAAUGUUAUAUUUUCAAAUUAAUAUUGUUACAUGCAUUAAUUGCAUUGGAAACAGUUUUCAGUGUAAUAAACUCAUUUUGCUCCUUAUGGGCUUUAGCCAUUUUGAGAUUUCAUUAUAGCAUUCAAUGUACUAAAGAUGUGUUGUUUGAUUAAUUUCUGAAGUGGAAAAAAGAAAAACAUGUAGUUUUACUAUUAUGAAUACAAAGUUUACUUUAUUUUACAAUUUUGUGUUACAAAUCUUGUAGAAAAUAAAUGACAGCAUUAUAAUAUGUGUAAAAUUAAAUAAGCUUUUUUCGGGUUAUCAUUUUUAUAUUUUAUUUAUAAAGUUGCUUCAAUUAGGUGGUUUCUGUACAAAAUAAGUUGGUCACUAAACUAGCUGAAUUUUUGCAAAUCACCAUGCCAACAAGGCACCAAGUUGGCAGAAUGUGGUGUAUUACCACCCUUCAGCUGCCAUAAAUCAAGCUGGUGUCAUAAAAUAGAUGGUCCUCUUUGUUUCUGUAAAGUCAAGUAUUGUUAUCAGUGAUCUACUGUUAUCAAUUGUAUUUGGCACAGACAGUAAUAAAACAAGCAGAUUAUCAGACUGCAGUAAUCAUAACAACUGAAUAUACAACAUACUGCACUAGUAGAUAGAACAGUAUUUAUAAAUAGAAUAGGAAAUAAAUUGCAAAAAAUAUAAAUAACAUUUUAAUUUGAACAACAGCAAAAAAUAUAAAUAACAUUUUUAUUUAGAACAACAAUCUACACUUUUAUUCUUGUCUCUUGUCUUUAUGCUUUCUUUUAAUUUAAACACUGUAUUAUUUUAAUUGGGAUAUUUUUUUUUAUAUAUUGUAUUUAUUUAGUUUGACAAAUUAUAAUUAAAACAGAUACUUGCAUAAAUACUGGCAUCAUUUAAAUACAUUUCUUCAAAACUUGAUUUUUUUAUUAAUUAAAAAACAAAUCCUCAUGAAAUGAGCUAUAAUGCUGCGCAUGGACACAGUUUUAAAAUACAGUUAAAAUGAAAAAAACAACAACCAUUUUUAAUGAAAUAGUCAUGGAAAAUUGCUUACCGGUAUAAAGCUUUAAUUAAAGAUACUAAUACUAUAUUGCAAAAAUAAAUGUAGAUCAUGAAAUGAAUAGUUUUGUUUGAGAAAAUCACCAAAAUGAUGUCCAUUCCCUGUUUGAUGUCUUAUUCUCAAUUCACAUUAUACAGUGUUUUUAGAACACAUCAUGACUUGCAGUUGACCCCUAUUGAUUUUGAGGUCACUAGGUCAAAGGUCAAGGUGACCCCAAAUAGUAAAAUGGUUUCCGGAUGAUAACUCAAGAACGCAUACGCCUAGGAUCAUGAAACUUAAUGGGUAGAUUGAUAACGACUCGCAGAUGACCCCUAUUGAUUUUGAGGUCACUAGGUCAAAGGUCAAGGUUAUGGUGACCUGAAAUAGUAAAAUGGUUUUCGGAUGAUAACUCAAGGACGCAUAUGCCUAGGAUCAUGAAACUUCAUAGGUAGAUUGAUCAUGACUCGCAGAUGACCCCUAUUGAUUUUGAGGUCACAAGGUCAAAGGUCAAGGUCACGGUGACCCGAAAUAGUUCAAUGAUUUUCGGAUGAUAACUCAAGAACGCUUUUGCCUAGGAUCAUGACACUUUAUAGGUGCAUUGAUCGUGACUCGCAGAUGACCCCUAUUGAUUUUCAGGUCACUAGGUCAAAGGUCAAGGUCACAGUGACAAAAAACGUAUUCACACAAUGGCUGCCACUACAACGGACAGCCCAUAUGGGGGGCAUGCAUGUUUUACAAACAACCCUUGUUUCAUAUACAUUUAUCGGAUUAUAUAUUUAACAUCCGAUUAAUGUAAAUGAAAUGAUUAUGAAAUUUUGUUCAAUGACAUGUGUUGCCAUGAAAGUUGGACUAUUACUUGUCUUUAGGCUCGAAGGCGCACAAGGAAUUACUGUUGGUCAUCGGAAGCAAGCGUCUUCUCUCUGACAUUCGCAUGCUGUCACCAGCUGAACAGACCUCGAUGCUGGAGGCUCAACACAAGGUGGUCUGCCAAUUUGCGCCAAAAUUUGUCUGCUUUUCAUACGCAGCAAUGAAACAGAGAUUGCAUCUGGCAGCCCUGCAUUCCGUUUCUAAUGCGCACAGGAAACAUGCAUAGACGAAGAACGGCCAAAAGCGCUACAGGAUUUCGUAUCCAAAGUACAAGGCGGGACACCAUGUCGUGAAACCUGUCAAAGAGGCCUGCAAUUAUGAUUAUGUCACAGAGCUCAUGGUUGAAUUGCUGCAAUUAAAACAACAGUUCAAGAGCACCCGGAUUGCUAAGCAGGCAUCUUCUUCCAUUCUGUUCUCUCCAACACCAUUAGCAUCAUAUGCGAAGAAAAUUUUAAAAAAUGAAGCAGUGCAGUUGCACCGCUCUAGGUUUAAUUAAUUACAGUAAUUGGAAACAACUUGGCAUGCCAUUUGUCAUGUGUUGCUCCAGCUGGGUUUAGUGUACGUGCGUAAGGUGUCAUCCCAGAUUAGCCUGUGCCAUAUAUGUUUGUAAUUAAUUUAAAAAAUCCUCGCGCUGGAAAGAUGGGACAAAGCGUGCGCAAAAUAUCUCGUCCCAUAUUAGCCUGUGUCCCUGAUAAGACUGUGCAGACUGGACGUGAACACAUGAUAUGCCCCAAGUUUUAUAUGACAAUGUCUACGAAUGUGCCCUUUUGACAAAUUAGAACCUAGCUGAAGCACUGAUCACGUAUUGUUUCAAAUUAACAUAGCAACUACAAUUAUUUUUUUGAAAAAUGUGAAUGUAUUAUUUUGACAAAUAUGCUGUAAUAAUAGUUUUCCCAUUGUGUGCUAUACUGUUAGUAUAAAAAUGUUAAUGUCAACACCUUUAUUUUUAAAUGUUGGGACCAUGUAGUGUUUUUUGUGUGAUAGUAUUGGUCUGUAAAAGAUGUUUUAAAAGUCAUUUUGUUAAAGGUACUUAAUUUGACUCCAUGACAAGUUGUAUUGCAACAUUGUGCUAGUAAAGCUCAUUUACUUAUUCCGUCCAGUUUUCUAAAACUUGUCGUCAGGUUACAAGUUGUUCUGUUGUUGUGUCUGUGGUAAUUUAUAUUUUUAGAUGUUGCAAUAAACUUGUAUGCUACAUA